RNAcentral lists this ribosomal RNA (253 nucleotides) under uncultured bacterium. RNAcentral describes it as "partial 16S ribosomal RNA". It matches the Rfam family "Bacterial small subunit ribosomal RNA", at positions 524 to 776 of the family's 1533-position model. The record is from RNAcentral.
UACGAAGGGGGCUAGCGUUGUUCGGAAUUACUGGGCGUAAAGCGCGCGCAGGCGGCCAAACAAGUCAGGGGUGAAAGCCCAGAGCUCAACUCUGGAACUGCCUUUGAAACUUUUUGGCUAGAGGACGGGAGAGGUGAGUGGAAUUCCCAGUGUAGAGGUGAAAUUCGUAGAUAUUGGGAAGAACACCGGUGGCGAAGGCGGCUCACUGGCCCGUUUCUGACGCUCAGGCGCGACAGCGUGGGGAUCAAACAGG